This 467-nucleotide ribosomal RNA is filed under the name uncultured bacterium. RNAcentral describes it as "partial 16S ribosomal RNA". It matches the Rfam family "Bacterial small subunit ribosomal RNA", at positions 28 to 507 of the family's 1533-position model. The record is from RNAcentral.
GAUGAACGCUGGCGGCGCGCCUAACACAUGCAAGUCGAACGAUUAAAGCACCUUCGGGUGUGUAUAAAGUGGCGAACGGCUGAGUAACACGUGGGCAACCUGCCCCUUUCAUUGGGAUAGCCACGGGAAACCGUGGAUAAUACCGAAUACUUCGAGACUUCCGCAUGGAAGACUCGAGAAAGCUCCGGCGGAGAGGGAUGGGCCCGCGGCCUGUUAGCUUGUUGGUGGGGUAACGGCCUACCAAGGCAAUGAUGGGUAGCUGGGUUGAGAGACCGACCAGCCAGAUUGGGACUGAGACACGGCCCAGACUCCUACGGGAGGCAGCAGUGGGGAAUCUUGCACAAUGGGCGAAAGCCUGAUGCAGCGACGCCGCGUGCGGGAUGAAGGCCUUCGGGUUGUAAACCGCUUUCAGCAGGGACGAGGCGAAAGUGACGGUACCUGCAGAAGAGGCCCCGGCUAACUACGUG